This 253-nucleotide ribosomal RNA is filed under the name uncultured bacterium. Its description in RNAcentral is "partial 16S ribosomal RNA". It matches the Rfam family "Bacterial small subunit ribosomal RNA", at positions 524 to 776 of the family's 1533-position model. The record is from RNAcentral.
UACGUAGGGUGCAAGCGUUAAUCGGAAUCACUGGGCGUAAAGCGUGCGUAGGUGGAUGUUUAAGUGUGAUGUUAAAUCGUGGGGCUCAACCCUGUCGGUGCAUCGCAUACUGGACGUCUAGAGGACAGCGGAGGCAAGUGGAAUUUGUAGUGUAGCAGUGAAAUGCGUAGAUAUUACAAGGAACACCAAUGGCGAAGGCAGCUUGCUGGGCUACUCCUGACACUGAGGUACGAAAGCGUGGGGAGCGAACAGG